GCUUCAGAGCAAAUGACUAAUGGCCCAGUCUUUAGAGAGUUGCAGAGAGUGAUUGAGUCCUGAAGCCCUUGAGUUUGAAGGGAAAGGUAUCAACGGACACAUAGCCAGAAGUGCUUCAAUGUGAAACAGAGAACCAAGGAAUAAUCAAGCAAAUCAAGAGUGUUUAAUUGUCUUGUGUACGAACAACAGAAGAAUGGAAUUCUUCUUUGCCGCUGCAUUACAGGCCUGUAAAUGCAAUGCACAUUUCUUCCCAAUGGUAGGAGCAAAAUGAGUGGGUGGUGUGGGACUGUGAUGAUAUUGGCUGCCAAGUCACUACUUGUGAUAGGAGUGGUAGCAUCAUCCUUGAUGCUUGAUGCAGGCUUGAUGCAGAUUUAAGUUGAAGAUCUUGCUAAUCGAUACCAAUCGAUAAUACAUCCCAACGGAUUCAGAACCCCAGUGGAAAAAUCAAUAGAAUUAGCAACAAUAGGAUGUUCAAGAAGGAACAGCAGAUGCUGGAAAAUUGAAGGUAGACAAAAGUGCUGGAGAAACUCAGUGGGUGAGGCAGCAUCUAUGGAGCGAAGGAAAUAGGCAAUGUUUCGGGCCGAAACCCUUCUUCAGACCCGAAGGAAAUAGGCAACGUUUCGGGCCGAAACAUUGCCUAUUUCCUUUGCUUCACAGAUGCUGCCGCACCCGCUGAGUUUCUCCAGCAUUUUUGUCUACCUAGCAACAAUAGGAAGCAGGUGAAUAAGCAGUGGAAUAAAUGUUGUUUGUCUACAAUGGAACAAUACAGGAUUCGCAGAGUGAGCAGGCAAAUGCAUGUUCAUUCAAUUUACAAAGACCUGAUAAUGAAGUUGAUUAUUGAAGGCACAACAGCGGGUCAACAGACAGACUAGAACUGAGGCAGCUGUAGAUCAUAUUAACUGGGAACCAUAUUAAGAGUUCAUAACUUUCAUACGAGUGGAAAAUUAUACCGAGAGAAGGGUCUGGACAUGUGUCUGGUUCCCAUAACAUAGUUUCCUGCAAAACGUGAAGCAACUUAGCAACUUAGUGCAGUUCAGUGGAGCAGCAUGUUUAUUCUGACCUCUAUCACAGUAAGAGAUUACUGGAAAGAGAGAAGAACAGGGUUAAAGAUGUGCUCAGCAUCCCAUUGCAGCACAGUGUGCAGUUGGUAGAGCCGCUGUCCCACAGGAUCAGAGACCUGGUUUGAUCCUUGCCUCAAGUGCUGCUGCCUCUGUAGAGUUUGCACAUUCUCGUUGUGACCACCUUGAUUCCCUCCAGAUACUCCAAUUUCCUCCAACAUACCCAAAGAUGUGCGGAUUUGUCGGUUAAUUGGCCUCUAUAAAUGGCCCCUGGUGCGUAGGAAGUGAAUGCAAAAGUGGGAUAACAGAACUAGUGUGAACAGGUGAUCGAUGGUCAGCAUGGACUUGUUGCCCUCCCCGCACACGGGUGGUUGGCAGAGGAGAGGGACGUUGGCCUGCAGACUUCCAGAAUUGGAGGUGCUCCAGAAUUUCCAACAUGUGGAUGGAACUUUGGACUGUUUGUGUUUCUGUUUUUAUUUUGUAAUUUUAAACGUGCCAAAUGUGUGGGUUUUGCAAAAUAAUGUCACUGUGCUGUGCAUGCGUGACACUAAAGAACCACUGGACCAUGUCUGCGCUGACCAUGAAUCCAAUGUAACUAAACCCUUCCUUAAUUCCGUUUCUCUUUCCACAAGAGGCUACCUGACCGGACAAUGUAAUUCCAGCAUUUUCCAAUUUUAUUUAAGAUAUGCUGCUAAACAUGUGGUUUAAGCAGAUUUUAAAAAAUGCAGGGUUGGCCAAUGGGUCUUACACAUGGUAACUUUAAACCUGGCAUUACAUUCACUCACAAUCGUAACAGAUUUCAAAGAUUGAAAGGUCAAGUUGUCAUUAGCCUUAAGUUGUCAUUCUUAAGUCUCUUUACAGAGGAUGUUUGUUCUACAGAGUGUUUCUAGAAAGUUUUGUUUUUAGUUUCAGCUUUCCAAAGUCGACUGUUUAUGUAUUUUGUUCCUGUGACCAAUGACACAGUGAGUUACGCCGGAACAAGAGAAUAUUUGAUUCAUGGAGUUUUACUCCCAGCAACUGUGAACAUUUGCGAGAAAGAGAUAGAAAAUUGGCCAUAAUAUUCCCCUAACAAGAAUGGAAGUGAGUAGUGAUUGGUGACGGAAUGAUUCCACGUGUAGCUAUUGUGACCAACUGAUAGUUUCAUCUUUGGUUUGUUUAAUUGCACCAGUUUUCUUCCACGUCACCUGGUAACAUAACAGGAUAUCAAAUUCCCAGCCAACAUUUCACUCUUGGAUUCAGUAACUCCUCCUACUUAUUUCCCCAGGUGUGUUUUAUCUAUAUUUAUCUAUGUGGUUCUUACGUGGAUGACUUUGAACACACAAAAGAAGGAUUAUCGACAUUUGACAGACAAGCUCAGUUUUGGAUGCCUUAAAUUCACACACAGUUGGGAAGGAUUGCUGCAAGAAAGUUUCAAUGGAGGAUCUAAGAAGCUGGCAGAGAUCGCAUAUGUGUAUUUUGCAAUGUGACCUAGCCCAUGAGAUUUAGUAGCUGCCCGACCCAUUGAGGAUUUCAGAAUGUUAUAACCAGCAUUUAAGAUCAUUGCUUUUCCAUUCUCCAAUGGGCUCAUAGGUGAAGAAACUACAGAAAACUGCCAGCAAAAGAAGACAAAAGUCACCAAGCCCAUGGAGAAAGUAGAGCCAUCUGAUUCCUGUGCACCCUCAGGCAGUUGACCAAGAAAAAGGAUUCCAUUAUCCAUAUUAGCCAUUCGGAAAGUAUUUCUCCAGGGCAGCUGAAGCUAACCCACUUGAAAAAGUGAUGGUGCUUUUGUGCCAAUGUUGUGAAUAAUAGCUGCGUGGAAAAUCAACCGAGCCUUCAAUAGUUAAUAGACACAAAAAUCUGGAGUAACUCAGUGGGACAGGCAGCAUCUCUGGAGAGAAGGGUUGAGAAGGGUUCAACAGCCUGAAGAAGUGUUGAGACCUGAAAUGUCAUCCAUUCCUUCUCUCUAGAAAUGCUGCCUGCUGAGUUACUCCAGCUUUUUUGUGUCCAUCUUCGGUUCAAACCGACAUUUGCACUUCUUUCCUACACAGUUAACGAUGUAUAGGCCUUAUCAAUUUUGAAUUCCUGCACCAAUAUCUUAUAUUUAUAAAAAUAUAGAAGGAAUGGACAGCUUUAUUUAAAAUAGGAAAUAUAACAGAUUCAGAUUGUGCAAAUAAGACUGUACACUUAUUAAAUUAACUUUUCAACGUGAUUGAACCCAUUUAUGUUAAAUCCGUCAUCACCUUUUCCGGUGAACUGUCUGAUCCUUCGGAUAUAAUGCUGAAGUCUUUGAGUCGGAUAUUUCUGCAUACAUCAGAUAACUGAUUAUGGAACCAUCAACGGGUCAUUUUUCUGAAAUGCCAACGACACUAGAUAUCAAUGUAAUCUGACACAGAAAAUGUCCUUGUCUUUGGAUAGAAUUGCACCAGUUGCCCAAAGAUAAUCAGAACAUAAAACUAUCAAGCAUCAAAGAAGAAAACCUGGAAGUAUUUCCUAUUCUCUGGAUUUCUGGAUAUGGUAGGUAGUGUGUAACAUGAUGCCUGUACAUGCAUCCACUGAAGGACAUUGAUAACAGAAAAAGGACUUUUUGGAAAAUGCUGAAGCAGCAAAAUUUGGAUUCGAGUUGUGAAGACUUUGGGUCUAAAGGGAACCUGCAAAAGUCAUCUGAUGCAUUAUUGCACAUCUAUGAUACGAAUUGCACAGGAUAUCAUAUUGAUCAGAGCGAAGAUAUACACAAAUUGCUGGAGUAACUCAGCGGGACAGGCAGCAUCUCCGGAGAGAAGAAAUGGGUGACGUUUCGGGUCGAGACCCUUCUUCAGACAUUGUUCUUCAGAUUUUGAUUCUUCAGAUAUUGAUUAGAGCAAUGGCAAACAUGCAGCCAAUGGACACUGGAAGUCAAAAGACAGAUUUUAAUACCAAUCAGCAAGCAAUAGUGAACUGACAGCAACACCACCAUUUUGGAUCCUGACAUUCCACUUAAUGCCAUCUCUUAAUCAGACAUGGCAGCAUGUCGAACCCGCUCAUUAGUACUAUUGAAAUGAAUCAUGUUUGUCUCUGUUUGAUUGUUUUCUGGCCGCUACUGGGGUUCUACAAAUGUGUUCUGUUUUUAAUUUAUUAAAAAGUAUGGAUUGUA
Long non-coding RNA from Leucoraja erinaceus (little skate), 4167 nucleotides. RefSeq lists it as uncharacterized. NCBI's taxonomy places the organism in Eukaryota, Metazoa, Chordata, Chondrichthyes, Rajiformes, Rajidae. The transcript is spliced from 3 exons. The record is from RefSeq and is a predicted model, not a curated record.